RNAcentral lists this long non-coding RNA (762 nucleotides) under Calidris pugnax (ruff). RNAcentral describes it as "lncRNA (ENSCPUG00000002638.1)". Lineage: Eukaryota; Metazoa; Chordata; Aves; Charadriiformes; Scolopacidae. The record is from RNAcentral.
CCUGACCCUUUUGUCUGUAUCACAGGGAUAAUAAUUUAUACCCGCCUCACAGGUCUGUAGCAUGAGAAAAGCUUGAUGAAGGAGCAGAUAUGCAAAGUGGCUUUUUAAUUAAAGACUCAUAGAUCAAAGAGAGCUUCUUGGAUUGCUUAGGUUUUACUGAGAUUCACCAGGAAAAACAGGUUUCAUAUUUCUGCUUGUUUACAGCAACACCGUAACAGUGAUGUUUAAUCAGGAAAGAGGUCAGUGACUAAUAAAGAUGAAGAAAUGGUCAGAGAAUGGAAGUGGCCUUGGGAUGGCAAGCUUGCCCAGCCAGUUAUAGCACAGGUGAGUGAAUAAGUCACAGUGAGGAUUGAAGGGAGCUUUGCAAUUAGCUUGGUCUACAAGUGGCAACAUGAAAGUGUGUGCUUGUCUUUGUCACCGCUGCAGGGUGCGGCUCUUCCACAGUGAGAAGAAUUGCCAAAGUUGACAGAGCUGUUGAUGAAAAAUGAAGUUCCAGAGGCAACUGUGAGCCACGUAAAUGACAUCAGUGCAGCCAGAGAACUGAGGAAUUUGCAGAGGAAAAUCCGGAGAAUUGUGGAUAACUGGCUGCGGUAUUAUCACACAGCCCUAGGAAUUGACAACAUACACCUUCAGAAAAUGUCUGGCUUUCAUCUGUGGCCCUUAAGGAAGGGCAUCAUUCAGUCUGCAGAUGCUGUCCCAGCUACCUCAGGUUUGCAGAGAUCACAAGGGAAGAGGAAAGAGAAGAGCCAAUCUCCCAAGUAA